AGCGGAAAGAAACUAACAAGGAUUCCCCUAGUAACUGCGAGUGAAGCGGGAAAAGCUCAAAUUUAAAAUCUGGCGGUCUCUGGCCGUCCGAGUUGUAAUCUAGAGAAGUAAUGCCCGUGCUGGACCGUGUAUAAGUCUCCUGGGAUGGAGCGUCAUAGAGGGUGAGAAUCCCGUCUUUGACACGGACUACCAGUGCAUUGUGGUAUGCUCUCAAAGAGUCGAGUUGUUUGGGAAUGCAGCUCAAAAUGGGUGGUAAAUUCCAUCUAAAGCUAAAUAUUGGCGAGAGACCGAUAGCGAACAAGUACCGUGAGGGAAAGAUGAAAAGAACUUUGGAAAGAGAGUUAAACAGUACGUGAAAUUGCUGAAAGGGAAACGCUUGAAGUCAGUCGCGUUGGCCAGGGAUCAGCCUUGCUUUUGCAUGGUGUACUUUCUGGUUGACGGGUCAGCAUCAAUUUUGACCGCUGGAAAAGGGCCUGGGGAAUGUGGCAGCUUCGGCUGUGUUAUAGCCCCUAGUCGCAUACAGUGGUUGGGAUUGAGGAACUCAGCACGCCGCAAGGCCGGGUUUCGACCACGUUCGUGCUUAGGAUGCUGGCAUAAUGGCUUUAAGCGACCCGUCUUGAAACACGGACCAAGGAGUCUAACAUGCCUGCGAGUAUUUGGGUGGAAAACCCAAGUGCGUAAUGAAAGUGAAAGUUGAGAUCCCUGUCGUGGGGAGCAUCGACGCCCGGACCAGAACUUUUGGGACGGAUCCGCGGUGGAGCAUGUAUGUUGGGACCCGAAAGAUGGUGAACUAUGCCUGAAUAGGGUGAAGCCAGAGGAAACUCUGGUGGAGGCUCGUAGCGAUUCUGACGUGCAAAUCGAUCGUCAAAUUUGGGUAUAGGGGCGAAAGACUAAUCGAACCAUCUAGUAGCU
Molecule: ribosomal RNA, 912 nt
Filed under: Agaricus pampeanus
Lineage: Eukaryota; Fungi; Basidiomycota; Agaricomycetes; Agaricales; Agaricaceae
Description: LSU rRNA
Rfam family: Eukaryotic large subunit ribosomal RNA
Source: RNAcentral